GACGAACGCUGGCGGCGUGCCUAAUACAUGCAAGUAGAACGCUGAAGGAGGAGCUUGCUUCUCUGGAUGAGUUGCGAACGGGUGAGUAACGCGUAGGUAACCUGCCUGGUAGCGGGGGAUAACUAUUGGAAACGAUAGCUAAUACCGCAUAAUAGUAGAUGUUGCAUGACAUUUGCUUAAAAGGUGCAAUUGCAUCACUACCAGAUGGACCUGCGUUGUAUUAGCUAGUUGGUGAGGUAACGGCUCACCAAGGCAACGAUACAUAGCCGACCUGAGAGGGUGAUCGGCCACACUGGGACUGAGACACGGCCCAGACUCCUACGGGAGGCAGCAGUAGGGAAUCUUCGGCAAUGGACGGAAGUCUGACCGAGCAACACCGCGUGAGUGAAGAAGGGUUUCGGAUCGUAAAGCUCUGUUGUAAGAGAAGAACGAGUGUGAGAGUGGAAAGUUCACACUGUGACGGUAUCUUACCAGAAAGGGACGGCUAACUACGUG
RNAcentral lists this ribosomal RNA (495 nucleotides) under uncultured bacterium. RNAcentral describes it as "partial 16S ribosomal RNA". It matches the Rfam family "Bacterial small subunit ribosomal RNA", at positions 28 to 507 of the family's 1533-position model. The record is from RNAcentral.